CGCGGUGGAUGCCUAGGCGAUGAGAGGCGAAGAAGGACGUGGACAGCUGCGAUAAGCCAUGGGGAGCCGCUAACAGGCUUUGAUCCGUGGAUCUCCGAAUGGGGCAACCCACCCGCGCGAGAGCGCGAGGUACUCUCCGGCUGAAUUCAUAGGCUGGAGGGAGCGAACCCGGGGAAGUGAAACAUCUCAGUACCCGGUGGAAGAGAAAACAAGAGUGAUUCCCCUAGUAGCGGCGAGCGAACGGGGACGAUGGCCAAACCCGAGGUAGCGAUACCACGGGGGUUGUAGGGCCGGCGAUGUGGCACGCGGACGACGAGACGAACGACUUGGAACGGUCGGUCAGAGAGGGUGACAACCCCGUAGUCGAAGUCGAACGCGGCCUAGCUGGUACCUGAGUACCGCAAGACACGUGCAAUCUGGCGGGAACCU
RNAcentral lists this ribosomal RNA (429 nucleotides) under uncultured bacterium. RNAcentral's name for it is "bacterial LSU rRNA". It matches the Rfam family "Bacterial large subunit ribosomal RNA", at positions 20 to 445 of the family's 2925-position model. The record is from RNAcentral.